This is a long non-coding RNA of Glycine soja, 319 nucleotides long. RefSeq lists it as uncharacterized. The transcript is spliced from 3 exons. The record is from RefSeq and is a predicted model, not a curated record. NCBI's taxonomy places the organism in Eukaryota, Viridiplantae, Streptophyta, Magnoliopsida, Fabales, Fabaceae.
AUUCUUUCCAGUUUUAGAGUAUUUCCAUACUUAUUUUGCUCUAAGAGAAGAUGGGCUGACAUGUUAGGGCCACAAUGGAAUAAGGAUGAGCUUGAACAUUUCUAUGAAGCUUACCGUAAAUAUGGGAAAGAUUGGAAGAAGGUUAGUUCUAACUAGCUAGUCAUAAGGUACCUUGGAAAUGCAUCUAUAUAUGGUAGCAGCAACAACAUGAUAAGCUUGAGCGAGGAAGGUCUGCGUCUGGAUUGGAGGAACUCAUCAUGGGUUGCUCUUCAAGUGAAAUCAAAAAAGCUUUGAAGAUUUGGUGGUCCCGUGAAGUAGG